CCCUUAGAUGUUCUGGGCUGCACGCGCGCUACACUGAUGCGCUCAACGAGUUUUAACCUUGCCUGGAAAGGUUGGGUAAUCUUUUUAAAACGCAUCGUGAUGGGGAUAGAUUAUUGCAAUUAUUAAUCUCCAACGAGGAAUUCCUAGUAAACGCAAGUCAUCAGCUUGCAUUGAUUACGUCCCUGCCCUUUGUACACACCGCCCGUCGCACCUACCGAUUGAAUGGUCCGGUGAAAUCUUGGGAUUUUGUUUUGUUUGCAUUUAUUUGUAUCGAGACGAGAGAACUUGAGUAAACCUUACCAUUUAGAGGAAGGUGAAGUCGUAACA
Molecule: ribosomal RNA, 327 nt
Filed under: uncultured eukaryote
Lineage: Eukaryota
Description: partial 18S ribosomal RNA
Rfam family: Eukaryotic small subunit ribosomal RNA
Source: RNAcentral